Long non-coding RNA from Odontomachus brunneus, 1716 nucleotides. RefSeq lists it as uncharacterized. The record is from RefSeq and is a predicted model, not a curated record. The transcript has 3 exons. Lineage: Eukaryota; Metazoa; Arthropoda; Insecta; Hymenoptera; Formicidae.
AUUAUUCACAUAUUUUUCCAGUACAUAAUUCUUUAUAUCAUUAUUAUUGGAACAUGCAGUCGAGUAUAAUAUUGCCUCUUAAUGACGAUAAUAAAACAGAAAUAAUACUCAAUACCAAUCUUCUUGUUAAAAACAGCAAGCAAAAAGAUUUAGCUAUUUUCAGCGAUCAAUUUCAUCUUGAAAUGUAGGUCAUCUAUGUAGGUCACGCAGGGUGCGUGUAUGUGUUGCCUUCCUUCCCUUUCAGCUUGCUGCCGUUAGGCUCUAAAUAGCAUACAGUUCCGAAAAUUAUUGGGGAUAUCAUUUAGUGUGCUUUUUUUCUUACAAACAUUGACACAACAAAAGUGUAAAAGUGUUUCUUACAAACAUUUUUACACAAAAUUUUUUAUAAUUUUCAGUUUCCUUCAUAAUUAGAUUUAAAAAAAAAUCUAGAUCUUGAAUUUUGAAUUUCAUGUUAUUUUUUUAAAGAGUAUACACAUAUACUUCAAGUUGCUCGAGAAGUUUUAGCAGACAAAAGCAAGCGUGUAAAAUCUGGAAUAUCUGUAGGUAUCUGUAGGUAUCUGAGGGCAACAGCUUCGAUCUCAAAAUCGCAGCUUGUGAAUAAAUAAUCGACGAACUAUACGAGCGUGACGGCAGCUCAUUUCAUCGCGGUCACGUGGCGCUAUGCAAAAAUAAAAUUUAAGAGCAUUGUGCUUGUAGAGGCGGACCGCGCAUGCUCGCGAUACGAUAGCUAGCGGGCGCAAACCGAUCGAAUUGGAAUUCUCUUUUAUACGUAUGUAUCUAUAGCGUGAUCUUUGCGAAUAAAUGGCAUAUUGCCAAUGCAAAUAUUGCAGCUAUUGAAAUAAGAUAGACGGUAUCGACCUAUUUCAAUAAUGUGGUUAAAAUCACAUCCUAAUACAUCUGUGCUAAAACAGGUAUAGCCAUUGGUCCAUCGACCAUUGAGUACUCUGACCUCGUUAUUUUCCAGGCAUAGGAUAACUGUCGCACGCGCUUGGCAGUUAUCACGAUUACGAGGAUCUUCGGCAAUCGAAUGACAUAGUUGCUAUUUCGAGAAAAAUUGUCAGCGUUAAAACAUUAAUAUCUUCUCACUUCGGCCUGAAAAUAGACUCGUGCCCGACGAAACUCGCGCGAAAGUUGUCGCACUACAUUCUCAUUAAGAAGCAACAAGAGGUGUGCCAUGUUAUAGGACGGCAAUUGAUGAAUCGGACGAAGGAUGAAGAUCAACCAAAACUAUGAGGAUGCUCGUCGAUACUGAAGGGAAAAACGGACCUGCCACGUGUAUCCAACGUAUCCGGUUGACUGGAUCAGUUUUUGUCAGCUUCGCGAGUCCAUUGACUUCCGCCGCAAGAUACGUCGAGCCCAGGCUCGAAAUCGCGUUCAUCACGUCCUAACGUUUGUUUUCUUUUAGUUUACGCGACACUGAUCCACACCAUGCACACGUUUUACGUGGUAGAGAUGCAUCGAAAUGGCAGCGUACGUGAUUCAGACACUUAACGAAGGCUUGAGGAACAAAGCUUUUUGUUGCAAUGACUGAUGACUUGUAAGCACUUCUCUGCAAUUGCUAAUUGAAGGUUUGAACGAAUCUAUUUCAUGAUGUACCCAUACAUAUUUUCUAUUGAGUGAGAAAAUAAGUGUAUAUCCUGUGUCUUCUGAAAACCGGGGAUGAUGUGUCGGUUCGUAGAUAAUUCGAUCUUUGGAUCAAUGCCGAAACGUAAAUGU